AUCUCAGCUUAUGACAGAGACUAGUCGAGAGGGCCUGACUGAAGCAGCAUUGAACCGCUACAAUGCAGAUAAACCCUCCUUGUACAGCUUCCCUGCUUCCCAGAGCACGUAUGUCGCUGCUGAUGUAUCCACAGGCACCUCGGUGGCAGCAUCUUUUUUUGCCAGAAAUAUGCCUUCUAAUCUUUUCAGCCCACUUGAAUCCUGGUGUAACUGACGAAGUUGAAAUAAUCUUUGUCUUCUAAUACUCUUCAAUAAUUAGAAGAUUGAUUGGGAUGAGUAGUGGAAAUAAUGAAAUAACAAGAAAAUAAACUAUUUUCAAAUAACAUAUCUGAAUUUCAAAA
Molecule: non-coding RNA, 341 nt
Organism: Meleagris gallopavo (turkey)
Lineage: Eukaryota; Metazoa; Chordata; Aves; Galliformes; Phasianidae
Source: RefSeq, a predicted model, not a curated record